UUCUUAAGUGAAUUGAAAGAGAAAUUAUGCUAAACACUAAUUUUUAAUUGAAAUGAAAGCUAAGCUAUGAAGAAUACAUAAAAGUUAUCAAAAUGAAGGGUGAAAUCUGAUAUGCCCAACCCCGUCUUCCUCUUCUCUAUUUAUAGCCUUUAAAAUAAGUGGGGGUGGUGGUUUCAUGAUUGCUCCACCACCCUAGGUUGUAGGAGGGAGGUGCCACCCCUAAUUGAUAAGCUAGGGUGGCUAAGCAGUCCUGGCAGCAGCAUUAAAAGGGAUAAAUGUGAUUGGACCUCAAAUGAUGUUUAAAAAGAUCGCAAAAGCUGAUGCUGCCCAUCUCGCUCGACCAGUCGAGCCACCAUCAAGUACAAUAUCAGAAACUUCAAAAAUUGGUCAAAAUGUGAAAAUCAGCUUCGCUCGACCUGGUCGAGCGGAUGUCCUGUACCCUUGAAAUGCAUCCUGCUAAUGAUCAGAAGCUACUGGAAGUUUGUCUGCACUUCACUCGACCCGAGGCACCUUGCUCGACCGAUCAAGCGACCUUCAGGAAUGUGAUACUCAGCUUCUGAAGCGCUUGGGCUACCUUGGCUUGAGCUAAUUCUGGUCGAGUGGGUCUACUAUGGCUUCUUUUGGCUUGUUCUUGUGGCUUGGCUCAUGAUGUUUCACUUCUUUGAGCCCUCGGCGUUUAGGUGAGCAAUGUAUGCAACAAAAAAGGGCUAGUUUGUACUCGGUUUUCAUGAUUAAAUCCUAAAAUGAAAUAAAACACCAAAGCAACAAAGCAAGCGUAAAAUCCAAUAAAACAAUGCAAUAACAUAUAGUUUCCUCACGCUAAACAAGCCACUUAGGAGUGAAAGUAAAGAUAAAAUGUAACUAACAAACUCCCCCAAGCCAGACCCUUGCUUGUCUUCAAGAAAGCAUUGUGUUAUCAUAGAGAGAAGAGAUAGGGAACCAAUGUAGAUGCACAUGAAUGAUCUGACAGAAGACCUAAGAAAACAUGGGUGGAGCAGAUCAAGAACGACUUAAAUGAGUUGUGCCUCUCUGCGGACUUGACUAGGAAUAUGAGUAGUUGGAGACGUCAGAUCCAUGUUUUAAACUAAUAGUAGUUUCUUUAGUUACCUCCCUACCCUAGGGUCUAGGUUCUUCUUACACGCUUUGUUUUGUUUCUUUGUAUAAUUAUCGAGGUUUUACCUUGUUUUUAUUUUUAUUUUCUUUUUUUCUCAUUUUAUUUUCUUUUUUGGUUAGAUCUAGUUUAUGCUUGUGCUGUCUUUUUCUGCUAAUAGUUGCACUCUUGAGACAAUGUUGCCACUCAUAUCCUCCUUUUGCAGGGCUCUUACUGUUUUAGGGGUAAAACCGACCGCUUUCCUCUAGUCCUUCCUGUGAAGGGAGUACGAGUAUGAAUUGUCCGUCACCUUCCCUCAACCAGACCCUACUUUUGAGCGGGUUAUUGGGCAUGAUGAUGAUGAUGAAUAUGUGAAAAGUUGAAUUACUAAUAUCAUUUUUUCCUAAAAUAAAUUAGCAUAGAAAAUUGAAUAUAUUGAAUUACUUCAAGAAUGGGGUCUUGUACUAUACACUAACACUACUUUGUACAUCCUAAUUGAUGAGCAUGCACAUAGACAGAAUCCAAAAGCCCGAAAGUUAAAAUUUUAUCCUUGUAAAAUAUGUGGUCAUUUGUCAUAAACCAUUAUUAACAAAUAUCAAUGCAAAUUCAUAAAUAAAAAAACAAAUUAUUUAAUUAUUAAUACAAUUCAAUACAAUCUAAAAUCUAUGAACAAUAAAUCUUUGGCUUCAAUAGAAUUUUUGGCAAUGAAGUGAAAAUUACCACACGUUUUGUUUUCCACAAGUCAACCAAACCUAUCCGCAAAGUCUUUGGUAGGGAAUAGAUUUAAUGACUUGAGUAGUAGAAUAAGCAUGGUCCUUCAUUCCUUUGUAUUUGUUUUAGUUUUUUUUUUUUUUUCAGUUUUUAAUUUUUCUAGCUUUUUUUGAAAGAAACAAAAUAUUAAGGUUUAUCACCAAAAAAAAAAAUCAAAAAAAAAAAUCAGAAUUUUGGUAUUUUUAAGGUGACUGUUCCCAACGGCUAAAUCCCUAGCACCAUCCCUCUCCUUUAUACAGCUUUUCCGGCCAUCGCAGAAGGCAGCGGCCUGCCGACCAGGGCAACUGAGCAGGGCAACUGACGCACCUCAGCUAGCUGCUAACCUCAGCCGCUUUUUGUUUCUUCGUUCGUGUGCGGGUUAAAGAAGCCAGCUCUUGUAGCAGGAGCGGCACUGAGUCGAGGAAGACCCAGGAGAACUUGGAAUGAGCAGAUAAAAAUUGACUUACGGGAGCUAAACCUCUCCGAGGGCCUGACUAGGGAUAGGGGUAGUUAGAGGCGUCAUAUCCAUGCUUUAGAUUGUUGAUGUCCUCCUACGUCAUCGUAUCUUUCUCGAGCCGGGGGACUCCUUUGGCCACACUCCCUUCUACGGGUAUGAGUUGCCGUCGUCCUUCCCUUUUCAGACCAUGUCCAUAGUUUUUCUAUGAGCGGGUUAUACUGGAUUGGAUGAUGAUGAAUUAUAAUUAAGGGGUAAAAUGGAAAGAUGGAAUAAAAUAAUGACUUGUGUAGUAGAAUAAGCAAGAUCCUUCACUCCUUUGAAUUUGUU
Long non-coding RNA from Amaranthus tricolor (Joseph's coat), 2624 nucleotides. RefSeq lists it as uncharacterized. The transcript is spliced from 2 exons. Lineage: Eukaryota; Viridiplantae; Streptophyta; Magnoliopsida; Caryophyllales; Amaranthaceae. The record is from RefSeq and is a predicted model, not a curated record.